GGACCUCACUGUCCCCGUACGUGUCUGUCCAGCUCCAGAGGACGAAGCUGAGGCCACGCAAGUGGUGCCCACCACGACCCCCGAGCCUCCCAUCAAGCCUCGCCUGGGGGAGCUGACCGUGACAGAUGCCACCCCUGACUCCCUGAGCCUGACCUGGACGGUCCCCGAGGGCCAGUUUGACCACUUCCUGGUCCAGUACAAGAACGGGGACGGGCAGCCCAAGGUGGUGCGGGUGCCGGGGCACGAGGACGGGGUCACCGUCUCAGGCCUGGAGCCAGACCACAAGUACAAGAUGAACCUGUACGGCUUCCACGGGGGCCAGCGCGUGGGCCCCGUCUCUGCCAUCGGGGUGACGGCUGCCGAGGAAGAGACCGCUGCUCCCACAGAGGUGGAGGAGACCCCCAGCCCCACAGAACCCAGCACGGAG
Molecule: RNA transcript, 427 nt
Organism: Propithecus coquereli (Coquerel's sifaka)
Lineage: Eukaryota; Metazoa; Chordata; Mammalia; Primates; Indriidae
Gene name: tenascin-X pseudogene
Exons: 2
Source: RefSeq, a predicted model, not a curated record